CCACCUACGUGAGAAAAAACAGACCUCCUUCCCUCUCCUCGCACGCUAAAGGAAAAAAAACACGUACACAUGUCCCACCCCCACUCCCCUUCCCCGAAUCCCUCGCCGCUGAUCCCAUGCCGAUGAACCGCCGCCGACGACUUCCUCUUAUCCACGGUGUCCUCUGCGGCCAAGGAGGAGCUCGACGCGCCCGCGCGCGGGGGGAGCAGUAGCGCCGACGUCUUCCUCUUAUCCACGGCGUCCUCUGCGGCCACUCGACGCGCCCGCACGCGGGGGGAGCAGGAGCGGCGCGGUGGCUACAAUGAUGGACGGCACCCAGAACUAAUUCAGCGGUGAGCUGGAGCGCGUCACAUCUUCUCAUAGCCUCGCCAUCAAUCAACUGGCUUCUCAAUCGAGCUUGCAGUACUUCCUCAAGGUUGCCUUCUGCUCCCGUGUUGUCGCUAAUCCAGGCUUAGUGCGGUCCAGCAACCGAUGGCGGGUGGGCGUGUGAAGCUACCGUUCUAAGGGUGCUCGUGGCACUUGUUUGAGCACAAGACUGGGGCGACGUCCUAAGGACACGCUGCGAUGUGGAAAUGAUAAAGUCAGCGGUGAUGACCAGGGCCGUGGCGGUGGACCGGAGGCAAGGUUGCACUGUCACUGCGUUGAUUCAUCCUCUCUCUAUCUCACACACACUUAACCCAUCCAUUUAUCUCUCUGCUAAUUCUUCACUCGUGUAAAAGUUGCUGGAGGUUGCUACUGCAGGAAUAUGGUUUGCGCCCAUCGAUCUCUUGGAGUGAUUCGAACCUUGGAAACAUAACCUGCUACUUCACUCGGCCCGAGAAACUGGGUGCUCUCUGGUGGCAGGGCGAUCAAUGCUGGUUCUGCUAGAGUUCCUCCGUUGCCCCGGCAGUAUAGAAGGAAUUACUGUGGGAAGCAAUUGCACGCGUAUUUGGAGGAGGGGUGCAUCCAGUUGACUCCCAAAAACCAGGGCUUCAGAGUGAAGCUCAAAUGGCAGGGGCUAAAACUCUAAUCGUUUCCUAAAAAAAUCUGUUAACUUCAUAUGGGCCUGAACUAUAGGAUUUCUUGCUUUAUUGAAUAAUCUUGUUGUUCAUAAUCUAGCCAGCUAGGUACAAAGAUUAUAGGAAAUGUGGAUCUUUGUCUCUUGUGCUCGGCUAUUUCUACUGUAAUUAAAUCUGGAGUUUUAUCUGAAUAAUAAUUCCAUACUAUGCUUGUGUCA
This is a long non-coding RNA of Hordeum vulgare subsp. vulgare (domesticated barley), 1216 nucleotides long. RefSeq lists it as uncharacterized. The transcript has 4 exons. Lineage: Eukaryota; Viridiplantae; Streptophyta; Magnoliopsida; Poales; Poaceae. The record is from RefSeq and is a predicted model, not a curated record.